This 561-nucleotide long non-coding RNA is filed under the name Marmota monax (woodchuck). The record is from RNAcentral. Lineage: Eukaryota; Metazoa; Chordata; Mammalia; Rodentia; Sciuridae.
CUUUGUUCAUUGAUUAUUUAGGGACAUCUAUUUUAUCAUCAUAACUAGAUUAUAAGUUUCUUGGGGGAAAAAUUCCUUCUUCUUGGUAAAGGUUUCCUAUGGUGCAUAGCUUCAUACCUGUCCAUAAUAGUAUUCAAUAAAUAUAUUCAUGGACUAUUAAGGGUGAUUUUUCAAAUUUAUCAGAGAAAAAGGAGAAAGAAUGGGGGGGGUGAAUUUCAGAAACUAUUUUGGGCAUUUGACCAAAGUAGUGUCAGUUAGUCUCCCAAAUGUAUUGAUCUAUUGUUUGCAAUUAAGAAAAUCCUUAUAAUCUUGUGCAAUUCUUGUUCCACAACAUAGAGCAGAGCUUGGUGGGACCUUGGUAAAAAUCGUUCACCUAUGGCAAACAUCACCUAGCAAAACUCUCUGAAAAGUUGGAAAAUAGUUACUUUCAUGGAAAUAUUAAUUAAACUACUAAACAAAGGUAACACAGUGCUGUGACUCUGAGUAUAGAUCUGGAAGCAGACUCCUUAGGGCUUGAAUCCUGGCUCUGGUACUUUCCAUCUCUGCACAGUUUCCUCAUCU